GCUUAACACAUGCAAGUCGAGGGGCAGCAUGGUCUUAGCUUGCUAAGGCCGAUGGCGACCGGCGCACGGGUGAGUAACACGUAUCCAACCUGCCGUCUACUCUUGGACAGCCUUCUGAAAGGAAGAUUAAUACAAGAUGGCAUCAUGAGUCCGCAUGUUCACAUGAUUAAAGGUAUUCCGGUAGACGAUGGGGAUGCGUUCCAUUAGAUAGUAGGCGGGGUAACGGCCCACCUAGUCUUCGAUGGAUAGGGGUUCUGAGAGGAAGGUCCCCCACAUUGGAACUGAGACACGGUCCAAACUCCUACGGGAGGCAGCAGUGAGGAAUAUUGGUCAAUGGGCGAGAGCCUGAACCAGCCAAGUAGCGUGAAGGAUGACUGCCCUAUGGGUUGUAAACUUCUUUUAUAAAGGAAUAAAGUCGGGUAUGGAUACCCGUUUGCAUGUACUUUAUGAAUAAGGAUCGGCUAACUCCGUGCCAGCAGCCGCGGUAAUACGGAGGAUCCGAGCGUUAUCCGGAUUUAUUGGGUUUAAAGGGAGCGUAGAUGGAUGUUUAAGUCAGUUGUGAAAGUUUGCGGCUCAACCGUAAAAUUGCAGUUGAUACUGGAUAUCUUGAGUGCAGUUGAGGCAGGCGGAAUUCGUGGUGUAGCGGUGAAAUGCUUAGAUAUCACGAAGAACUCCGAUUGCGAAGGCAGCCUGCUAAGCUGCAACUGACAUUGAGGCUCGAAAGUGUGGGUAUCAAACAGGAUUGGAUACCCUGGUAGUCCACACGGUAAACGAUGAAUACUCGCUGUUUGCGAUAUACAGCAAGCGGCCAAGCGAAAGCGUUAAGUAUUCCACCUGGGGAGUACGCCGGCAACGGUGAAACUCAAAGGAAUUGACGGGGGCCCGCACAAGCGGAGGAACAUGUGGUUUAAUUCGAUGAUACGCGAGGAACCUUACCCGGGCUUAAAUUGCAGAUGAAUUACGGUGAAAGCCGUAAGCCGCAAGGCAUCUGUGAAGGUGCUGCAUGGUUGUCGUCAGCUCGUGCCGUGAGGUGUCGGCUUAAGUGCCAUAACGAGCGCAACCCUUGUUGUCAGUUACUAACAGGUUCCGCUGAGGACUCUGACAAGACUGCCAUCGUAAGAUGUGAGGAAGGUGGGGAUGACGUCAAAUCAGCACGGCCCUUACGUCCGGGGCUACACACGUGUUACAAUGGGGGGUACAGAGGGCCGCUACCACGCGAGUGGAUGCCAAUCCCCAAAACCUCUCUCAGUUCGGACUGGAGUCUGCAACCCGACUCCACGAAGCUGGAUUCGCUAGUAAUCGCGCAUCAGCCACGGCGCGGUGAAUACGUUCCCGGGCCUUGUACACACCGCCCGUCAAGCCAUGGGAGCCGGGGGUACCUGAAGUGCGUAACCGCGAGGAGCGCCCUAGGGUAAAACUGGUGACUGGGGCUAAGU
RNAcentral lists this ribosomal RNA (1436 nucleotides) under uncultured organism. Its description in RNAcentral is "16S ribosomal RNA". It matches the Rfam family "Bacterial small subunit ribosomal RNA". The record is from RNAcentral.